ACUUACGGCCAUACCAUCCUGAAUACGCCCGAUCUUGUCUGAUCUCGGAAGCUAAGCAGGGUCAGGCCUGGUUAGUACUUUGAUGGGAGACUGCCUUGGAAUACCAGGUGCUGGAAGUG
RNAcentral lists this ribosomal RNA (119 nucleotides) under Hucho hucho (huchen). The record is from RNAcentral. Lineage: Eukaryota; Metazoa; Chordata; Actinopteri; Salmoniformes; Salmonidae.